UAAUUGUCUGCACAGAGCCCUUGCCGAAGGAUCGUGUGCCGACGAUGACGGCACGCUUGUGAUCUUGUAAGGCACCGGCAACAAUUUCGGAUGCAGAUGCCGAACCACUGUUAAUCAGCACGACGAUGGGUUUGUUCUUGAGAACAUCGCCUUUGCGGGCGUUGUAACGCUGGAUUUUUUCAUUGUUGCGUGUGCGGGUGGAGACGAUUUCCCCUUUAUCCAUAAAGGCAUCACUGACGGCGAUCGCCUGAUCCAGUAGUCCGCCGGGAUUAUUGCGC
This 278-nucleotide non-coding RNA is filed under the name marine eukaryotic metagenome. The record is from RNAcentral.